AACGAACGCUGGCGGCAUGCCUAACACAUGCAAGUCGAACGAGACCUUCGGGUCUAGUGGCGCACGGGUGCGUAACGCGUGGGAACCUGCCCUUAGGUUCGGAAUAACUCCCCGAAAGGGGUGCUAAUACCGGAUCAUGUCUUCGGACCAAAGAUUUAUCGCCUUUGGAUGGGCCCGCGUUGGAUUAGCUAGUUGGUAGGGUAAAAGCCUACCAAGGCGACGAUCCAUAGCUGGUCUGAGAGGAUGAUCAGCCACACUGGGACUGAGACACGGCCCAGACUCCUACGGGAGGCAGCAGUGGGGAAUAUUGGACAAUGGGCGAAAGCCUGAUCCAGCAAGGCCGCGUGAGUGAUGAAGGCCUUAGGGUUGUAAAGCUCUUUUACCCGGAAUGAUAAUGACAGUACCGGGAGAAUAAGCUCCGGCUAACUCCGUG
This 433-nucleotide ribosomal RNA is filed under the name uncultured bacterium. Its description in RNAcentral is "partial 16S ribosomal RNA". It matches the Rfam family "Bacterial small subunit ribosomal RNA", at positions 29 to 507 of the family's 1533-position model. The record is from RNAcentral.